UUGUCCGGAAUUACUGGGUGUAAAGGGAGCGUAGGCGGGGAAGACAAGUUGAAUGUUUAAACUAUCGGCUCAACUGAUAGGUCGCGUUCAAAACUAUCACUCUUGAGUGCAGUAGAGGUAGGCGGAAUUCCUAGUGUAGCGGUGAAAUGCGUAGAUAUUAGGAGGAACACCAGUGGCGAAGGCGGCCUACUGGGCUGUAACUGACGCUGAGGCUCGAAAGCGUGGGUAGCAAACAGGAUUAGAUACCCUGGUAGUCCACGCCGUAAACGAUGAUUACUAGGUGUGGGGGGACUGACCCCUUCCGUGCCGGAGUUAACACAAUAAGUAAUCCACCUGGGGAGUACGACCGCAAGGUUGAAACUCAAAGGAAUUGACGGGGGCCCGCACAAGCAGUGGAGUAUGUGGUUUAAUUC
Molecule: ribosomal RNA, 413 nt
Filed under: uncultured bacterium
Lineage: Bacteria
Description: bacterial SSU rRNA
Rfam family: Bacterial small subunit ribosomal RNA
Source: RNAcentral